AACGUUAUUGAAUUCCUUCCUCAUCUUGGGAAUAGCUACAAUUGGGUCGUCAACAGUCUUGGUAAGAAUAAAGAGCUUAUCAAAGAUGACAUCCCAUACCUUGGAAUCUUCAGCCAUGAUGAAAUCGUGCAUCCUAGUCUUCCACUAUCCAUGAUAUUGGCCGUUGAACCUAGGUGGUCUGUAAGUAGACUGGCCUUCUUUGAUGUUUGGCGGAGCAGCCAUGAGGAUCCUUUCUAGGUGUUAACCUGAUAGAAAGAAC
This 259-nucleotide long non-coding RNA is filed under the name Nicotiana benthamiana. Its description in RNAcentral is "long non-coding RNA (NBEN_LNC034000)". The record is from RNAcentral. Lineage: Eukaryota; Viridiplantae; Streptophyta; Magnoliopsida; Solanales; Solanaceae.